RNAcentral lists this long non-coding RNA (266 nucleotides) under Homo sapiens (human). RNAcentral's name for it is "non-protein coding lnc-NDUFA3-1:3". The record is from RNAcentral. Lineage: Eukaryota; Metazoa; Chordata; Mammalia; Primates; Hominidae.
CAGCACUUAGUAAACAUUCAUAUCCCCUGCCUCCAGAGUUCCUUAAGGUUCAAUUGAUGGAAUGCCUCCUCUGCACCAGCACCUGGGCAGAGACGGAGUUUCACCGUGUUAGCCAGGAUGGUCCCGAUCUCCUGACCUCGUGAUCCGCCUGCCUCGGCCUCCCAAAGUGCUGGGAUUACAGGCAUGAUGAGCCACUGCGCCCGGCCUAUUUCAACUUAAGUGAAAAUCUCACCUGUGGCCAGCGGCUACCGUGCUGGACAGCACAG